AUUGAACGCUGGCGGCAUGCCUUACACAUGCAAGUCGAACGGCAGCACGGACUUCGGUCUGGUGGCGAGUGGCGAACGGGUGAGUAAUGUAUCGGAACGUACCUUUCAGUGGGGGAUAACGUAGCGAAAGUUACGCUAAUACCGCAUAUUCUGUGAGCAGGAAAGCAGGGGAUCGCAAGACCUUGCGCUGAUUGAGCGGCCGAUAUCAGAUUAGCUAGUUGGUGGGGUAAAGGCCUACCAAGGCGACGAUCUGUAGCGGGUCUGAGAGGAUGAUCCGCCACACUGGAACUGAGACACGGUCCAGACUCCUACGGGAGGCAGCAGUGGGGAAUUUUGGACAAUGGGGGCAACCCUGAUCCAGCCAUGCCGCGUGAGUGAAGAAGGCCUCGGUUGUAAGACUCUUCGUCCGGAGAAUACGCAUAGCGUAAUACCUCGUGUGGAGUGACGGUACCGGAAGUAAGAAGACACCGGCGUAACUACGUGCCAGCACG
This 491-nucleotide ribosomal RNA is filed under the name uncultured bacterium. Its description in RNAcentral is "bacterial SSU rRNA". It matches the Rfam family "Bacterial small subunit ribosomal RNA", at positions 30 to 515 of the family's 1533-position model. The record is from RNAcentral.